This 2095-nucleotide unclassified non-coding RNA is filed under the name Haliotis rufescens (red abalone). RNAcentral's name for it is "serine/threonine kinase-like domain-containing protein STKLD1, transcript variant X2". The record is from RNAcentral. Lineage: Eukaryota; Metazoa; Mollusca; Gastropoda; Lepetellida; Haliotidae.
UCCCCGGCGUCAGGUUGUCAAGAAUGGAGAACUACAGGAUUUUGGAACGAAUCGGAAAGGGUGGACAGGGGUCUGUACAUCUCGUAGAUCACAGAGAGGAUGGAAACAGGUCUGUUUUGAAAAAGGUUGAAUGUCACGAUGAGAGUGAGGCCAACAAGGCCUUCAAGGAGGCCAUGGCGCUGCGGCAGCUGCAGCAUCCCUAUGUGUGCGGCUACAAGGAGUUCUUCGUCAUGUGGGAUAAGGAGGAGUCAUCGAUGUUCGUGUGCAUCGUGAUGGACUACUACAGCAAGGGGGACCUGAAGAAGAUCAUUCAGCAGUACCAGAAGGACAAGCAGCCCAUGGAGGAAGAGGUUGUGAAGAGGUACCUGGGGGAAAUUCUGGAGGCACUUAUAUUUGUACACAGAAAAGGUGUCAUUCACAGGGAUCUGAAGCCAAGCAACAUCUUCAUUCAAGAUAACGACAGCAUCUGCCUCGGGGACUUCGGCGUUGCAACCAUCAUGGGUGACGCCAAGACAUGCACCAGGAACACAGUGGGCACGACCAACUACAUGGCGCCGGAGGUCCAGAACAAUCCGUACGACGAGAGAAGUGAUAUGUGGGCCCUGGGCUGUAUCCUGUUUGAGAUGACGACGACGGCCAUGUUUGAUGGUGUCAUGGUGGCCACGAAGCUGAAGGAAGUAAAGGACGACCCUGGCGUGCUGGAGGAGAUCUUCGAGGAUGUGGCCAAGCAUUUUUCGGGCGACUUGAUCACUGCUAUCCGUCAGAUGCUCAAGUACAACCCCACGCGGAGGCCGACGGCUGAGCAGCUGGUGGAGAAGUGUGCAUACAUCAAGAAGUGUGUCGAGGCCAGGGACUCCUCCAUGUUGGAGAAGAGGAGGAGACAGGCCCAGACGGAAGAAAAGAAAAUCGAUCCUCUAACAUCCGAGUCCCCCGGGAUCCUGGUCGUCCUGGAACACAUCGCCAAUAUGAUUGACAAUGAGGACUGCGUCAAGGAUGGCAUGGAACACCUGGUAGAGCUCACCAAACAAGAUGGCGUCCUCCUAGAGGAGAACAGCAAACGUCUGAUUGCCGCGGCGAUGAGGAAUAACAUCAACAACAAGACUAUACAAAUAGCAGGCUGCAAUGUGUUCAAUAACGUCAUCGUUUCAGUGUUGGAAAUAUGCGCCCGGUUCGGGAAGGCGGAGCCUGCUCAGACUGGGGAUGUUCUGUUCACAUCUGAAAUCAUCUCUGUCAUUAUCCUCGCCAUGAAGACUCACCCAAGCUGUUCGGAGUUGCAGCAAACUGCAGCAGCUAUACUCAUGGCGUUGUCAGCAGACAAUAGGGCAGGCGAGCUGAUCGGCAGUUUGGGCGGUAUAGCUCAGAUACUGUGUGCCAUGAGGACCCAUCUACAGAACCCCGAGCUGUGUGCCACCUGUUGCAGCGCCAUCUGGAGUCUCACAGUCAAUGAAAAUAACUUGCAGACAGCGUACGACAGUCAAGCUCUUGAGACGAUAUGCUCGGCGAUGAAGACACAUCCUGCGUCGCAGGAGGUGGCAGAUGCUGCAUGUGCGGCCCUCUUCUCUCUCUGUUUGGAUGAAAAGAGUUUUGACGUUGUGAAUGACCUGGACACUGUGGGCCUACUUCUCAGUGCAAUAGAAACACACGACAAGAGCGCCAAAGUGGUGAAGAACGCCUGCAUGGCACUGUCUGGACUGGUGGAACCAGAUGAGGAGUGUGCAUACCGAGUACUGACAAGCGAGGGGGGGAGUGAGGCAGCAGAGAGUAAGGACGGCAUCCCCGUCAUCAUGAGGGCGUAUGAGCUGCACAAGGACAACGCCGAUGUUGUGGAAUCUAUUGUCACUCUCAUCAUGGAACUCACAGAAUAUGAUGAUAUUUGUAAGGAUUUAUUGAGCUUCAAAGUACCUGCACUCAUAAAAGAGAUUCAGUUGAAGUUUAAUAAGAAUGAGAUGACAUGAACGCUGAAAUGCACCACCUAGCGGUGGGAUCCCACAUACUGCUCCCCACUCACAAACGUUUCCGGGACAACAGGGACAUCAUGAAGCCGUGUGAGGCGGCCAUGCAGAAGCUCGGAGUCAACAAGCCAUUAUAGACAGCC